AUGUUCUUUCCAUAACAGCCCAUAACAUGUCAAAGAUCAUUGACGGAUGCAGAAGGGCAAGAAGCACAUACUUUAUUACGACUACAUAAAUAUAAAGGAGUUAUGGCUCCUUACCUGGAGGAGGGAGAUAACUGGACAUUUGUUCAUUGCAAUUUGGAAAGCAAAGGAAUUACAUAUUGUGAUUCACUUGGAGAGCUGAAAGAAAAAUGUGAACGUAUCAAAGACAGCUGGG
Long non-coding RNA from Trichomycterus rosablanca, 232 nucleotides. RefSeq lists it as uncharacterized. The record is from RefSeq and is a predicted model, not a curated record. The transcript has 3 exons. Lineage: Eukaryota; Metazoa; Chordata; Actinopteri; Siluriformes; Trichomycteridae.